CAGUCGCCACGGUAAUACGAAGGGGGCUAGCGUUGUUCGGAUUUACUGGGCGUAAAGGGCGCGUAGGCGGACUGAUAAGUCAGAGGUGAAAUCCCAAGGCUCAACCUUGGAACUGCCUUUGAUACUGUUUGUCUUGAGUUCGAGAGAGGUAAGUGGAACUGCGAGUGUAGAGGUGAAAUUCGUAGAUAUUCGCAAGAACACCAGUGGCGAAGGCGGCUUACUGGCUCGAAACUGACGCUGAGGCGCGAAAGCGUGGGGAGCAAACAGGAUUAGAUACCCCUGUAGUCCCUGUCUCUUAUAC
RNAcentral lists this ribosomal RNA (301 nucleotides) under uncultured bacterium. RNAcentral's name for it is "partial 16S ribosomal RNA". It matches the Rfam family "Bacterial small subunit ribosomal RNA", at positions 509 to 807 of the family's 1533-position model. The record is from RNAcentral.